Molecule: long non-coding RNA, 452 nt
Filed under: Brassica napus (rape)
Lineage: Eukaryota; Viridiplantae; Streptophyta; Magnoliopsida; Brassicales; Brassicaceae
Description: long non-coding RNA (BNAP_LNC010938)
Source: RNAcentral
AAAAUUUAGAUUCAGUUUGGUAUUUGAUCAGUUUACACACAAAUUCCAUUUGGUUCCAAUCAUAGAAUUUGGCUCAGAUUCGGUUCUAUCUGCGACUUCGAUUCUGUAAAUUGAUGCAGAAAUGCUUUUGAAAGGUAAAAACUGUAAACAGCUUCUGAAAAUCCUUUUUGUUUGUGAAGAACAUUUUUCUAGCGGAGUUCAUUUCCUAUAUUCAUAUGACAACCAUAAAUAAAUGGGAUAAUCUUUUAAUAAUGUCACUUUUUUAGUAGCCACGACGAUGGUAAAGCAUCUGAAGAUCAUUGCAAUGGUUGCAGGUCCAAGGAACCAGAUAAGGGUCUAAACAAUAAGUAUGGAUCCGCCGGAAGUUGCAGAUGUGACAUCUUAUGAGAAGAUCAACUGGUUCACUGAGGGAGCAUCUACCACACGCUGAAGCUCGAGUCUGCAUCCACACC